Molecule: ribosomal RNA, 275 nt
Filed under: uncultured bacterium
Lineage: Bacteria
Description: partial 16S ribosomal RNA
Rfam family: Bacterial small subunit ribosomal RNA
Source: RNAcentral
GCGUGAGUGAUGAAGGCCUUAGGGUUGUAAAGCUCUUUUACCAGGGAUGAUAAUGACUGUACCGGAAGAAUAAGCCCCGGCUAACUUCGUGCCAGCAGCCGCGGUAAUACGAAGGGGGCUAGCGUUGCUCGGAAUCACUGGGCGUAAAGCGCACGUAGGCGGAUCUUUAAGUCAGAGGUGAAAUCCCAAGGCUCAACCUUGGAACUGCCUUUGAUACUGGGGAUCUCGAGUCCGGAAGAGGUGAGUGGAACUCCGAGUGUAGAGGUGAAAUUCGU